RNAcentral lists this ribosomal RNA (253 nucleotides) under uncultured bacterium. RNAcentral describes it as "partial 16S ribosomal RNA". It matches the Rfam family "Bacterial small subunit ribosomal RNA", at positions 524 to 776 of the family's 1533-position model. The record is from RNAcentral.
UACGGGGGGGGCAAGCGUUGUUCGGAAUUACUGGGCGUAAAGGGCUCGUAGGCGGCCAACUAAGUCAGACGUGAAAUCCCCAGGCUCAACCUGGGAACUGCGUCUGAUACUGGAUGGCUUGAAUUCGGGAGAGGGAUGCAGAAUUCCAGGCGUAGCGGUGAAAUGCGUAGAUAUCUGGAGGAAUACCGGUGGCGAAGGCGGCAUCCUGGACCGAGAUUGACACUGAUGAGCGAAAGCCAGGGGAGCAAACGGG